RNAcentral lists this ribosomal RNA (459 nucleotides) under uncultured bacterium. Its description in RNAcentral is "partial 16S ribosomal RNA". It matches the Rfam family "Bacterial small subunit ribosomal RNA", at positions 338 to 795 of the family's 1533-position model. The record is from RNAcentral.
CCUACGGGUGGCAGCAGUGAGGAAUAUUGGUCAAUGGCCGUAAGGCUGAACCAGCCAAGUCGCGUGAGGGAAGACUGCCCUAUGGGUUGUAAACCUCUUUUGUGCGGGGACAAAGGUGGCCACGUGUGGCUGUUUGCAGGUACCGCAUGAAUAAGGAUCGGCUAAUUCCGUGCCAGCAGCCGCGGUAAUACGGAAGGUCCGGGCGUUAUCCGGAUUUAUUGGGUUUAAAGGGUGCGUGGGCGGUCUUUAAGCGUGCCGUGAAAAUUUGUGGCUCAACCAUGGGAGUGCGGUGGGAACUGGCGACCUUGAGUGCGAGGAAGGCAGGCGGAAUGCGUGGUGUAGCGGUGAAAUGCUUAGAUAUCGCGCAGAACCCCGAUGGCGAAGGCAGCCUGCCGGAGCGUUACUGACGCUGAGGCACGAAAGCGCGGGUAUCGAACAGGAUUAGAUACCCGGGUAGUC